UACGUAGGCUGCAAGCGUUAAUCGGAAUUACUGGGCGUAAAGCGUGCGCAGGCGGUUGUGCAAGACAGAUGUGAAAUCCCCGGGCUUAACCUGGGAACUGCAUUUGUGACUGCACGGCUAGAGUGUGUCAGAGGGGGGUAGAAUUCCACGUGUAGCAGUGAAAUGCGUAGAUAUGUGGAGGAAUACCGAUGGCGAAGGCAGCCCCCUGGGAUAACACUGACGCUCAUGCACGAAAGCGUGGGGAGCAAACAGG
This 253-nucleotide ribosomal RNA is filed under the name uncultured bacterium. RNAcentral's name for it is "partial 16S ribosomal RNA". It matches the Rfam family "Bacterial small subunit ribosomal RNA", at positions 524 to 776 of the family's 1533-position model. The record is from RNAcentral.